AACGAACGCUGGCGGCAUGCCUAACACAUGCAAGUCGAACGAGACCUUCGGGUCUAGUGGCGCACGGGUGCGUAACGCGUGGGAAUCUGCCCUUCGGUUGGGAAUAACUGAGAGAAAUUUCAGCUAAUACCUUAUAAUGUCUUCGGACCAAAGAUUUAUCGCCGAGGGAUGAGCCCGCGUAGGAUUAGGUAGUUGGUGGGGUAAUGGCCUACCAAGCCGACGAUCCUUAGCUGGUCUGAGAGGAUGAUCAGCCACACUGGGACUGAGACACGGCCCAGACUCCUACGGGAGGCAGCAGUGGGGAAUAUUGGACAGUGGGCGAAAGCCUGAUCCAGCAAUGCCGCGUGAGUGAUGAAGGCCUUAGGGUUGUAAAGCUCUUUUACCCGGGAUGAUAAUGACAGUACCGGGAGAAUAAGCUCCGGCUAACUCCGUG
RNAcentral lists this ribosomal RNA (433 nucleotides) under uncultured bacterium. RNAcentral describes it as "partial 16S ribosomal RNA". It matches the Rfam family "Bacterial small subunit ribosomal RNA", at positions 29 to 507 of the family's 1533-position model. The record is from RNAcentral.